This 446-nucleotide ribosomal RNA is filed under the name uncultured beta proteobacterium. RNAcentral's name for it is "bacterial SSU rRNA". It matches the Rfam family "Bacterial small subunit ribosomal RNA", at positions 66 to 507 of the family's 1533-position model. Lineage: Bacteria; Pseudomonadati; Pseudomonadota; Betaproteobacteria. The record is from RNAcentral.
GCGGCAGCGCGGGGGCAACCCUGGCGGCGAGCGGCGAACGGGUGAGUAACAUAUCGGAACGUACCCUAUCGUGGGGGAUAACACAUCGAAAGAUGUGCUAAUACCGCAUACGACCUGAGGGUGAAAGCAGGGGAUCGCAAGACCUUGCGCGACGGGAGCGGCCGAUAUCGGAUUAGCUAGUUGGUGAGGUAAAGGCUCACCAAGGCGACGAUCCGUAGCUGGUCUGAGAGGACGACCAGCCACACUGGAACUGAGACACGGUCCAGACUCCUACGGGAGGCAGCAGUGGGGAAUUUUGGACAAUGGGGGCAACCCUGAUCCAGCCAUUCCGCGUGAGUGAAGAAGGCCUUCGGGUUGUAAAACUCUUUCAGCAGGAACGAAACGGUGAGCUCUAACAUAGCUUGCUAAUGACGGUACCUGAAGAAGAAGCACCGGCUAAUUACGUG